Cercocebus atys (sooty mangabey) is the source of this 106-nucleotide small nuclear RNA. The record is from Ensembl. NCBI's taxonomy places the organism in Eukaryota, Metazoa, Chordata, Mammalia, Primates, Cercopithecidae.
GUACUCACUUUGGCAGCACAUAAACUGAAACUGUAAUGAUACAGAAGAUUAGCAUGGCCCCUGCAGAAGGAUGAUAUGGAAAAUUUAACAAAGAAAAAGCACACUG